UCGUGAGAUGUUGGGUUAAGUCCCGCAACGAGCGCAACCCUCGCCUUAGUUGCCAGCAUUUGGUUGGGCACUCUAGGGGGACUGCCGGUGAUAAGCCGAGAGGAAGGUGGGGAUGACGUCAAGUCCUCAUGGCCCUUACGGGCUGGGCUACACACGUGCUACAAUGGCGGUGACAAUGGGCAGCGAAGGGGCGACCUGGAGCUAAUCCCAAAAAGCCGUCUCAGUUCGGAUUGCACUCUGCAACUCGGGUGCAUGAAGGUGGAAUCGCUAGUAAUCGUGGAUCAGCAUGCCACGGUGAAUACGUUCCCGGGCCUUGUACACACGCCCGUCACACCAUGGGAGUUGGUUCUACCCGACGGCGCUGCGCUAACCCGCGAGGGAGGCAGGCGACCACGGUAGGAUCAGCGACUGGGGUGAAGUCGUAACAAGGUAGCCGUAGGGGAACCUGCGGCUGGAUCACCUCCUUUCU
Molecule: ribosomal RNA, 469 nt
Filed under: Saliniramus fredricksonii
Lineage: Bacteria; Pseudomonadati; Pseudomonadota; Alphaproteobacteria; Hyphomicrobiales; Salinarimonadaceae
Description: bacterial SSU rRNA
Rfam family: Bacterial small subunit ribosomal RNA
Source: RNAcentral